CAAUAGCGUAUAUUUAAGUUGUUGCAGUUAAAAAGCUCGUAGUUGGAUUUCGGAUGGGAUUUGCCGGUCCGUCGUUACGAUGUGCACUGGCCAGUCCUAUCUUGUUGUCGGGGACUAGCUCCUUGGAUUCACUUCCUGGGACUAGGAGCUAACGAGGUUACUUUGAGUAAAUUAGAGUGUUCAAAGCAAGCCUACGCUCUGAAUACAUUAGCAUGGAAUAACACGAUAGGACUCUGGCUUAUCUUGUUGGUCUGUGAGACCAGAGUAAUGAUUAAGAGGGACAGUCGGGGACAUUCGUAUUUCAUUGUCAGAGGUGAAAUUCUUGGAUUUAUGAAAGACGAACUUCUGCGAAAGCAUUUGUCAAGGAUGUUUUCAUUAA
This 379-nucleotide ribosomal RNA is filed under the name uncultured eukaryote. RNAcentral describes it as "partial 18S ribosomal RNA". It matches the Rfam family "Eukaryotic small subunit ribosomal RNA", at positions 592 to 976 of the family's 1831-position model. The record is from RNAcentral.